UGGGCUAUCAACUUGAGUAGCUCUGGGCCUAGAGCACAUCCAGCAAAGUUUAGAAUCAUUAAGGUCUAUGUCAAUUGCUGGGUACCCUAACCCUAAAAUCCUCCUCUGACACCCAACAGUCAAAACAAUAAGAAGAAAAUUGCCUUGGGAAACAUUUGGGUGCCUGGGCCCCCAACUCCGCGAUUUAUCCGAUUCUUUGGAAUGCGAAGGCCUGUACAGGUUGACAGAAGGAAAGGGGUUGGGGCUCAAGGAGAGUGGAGGAUGAAUAGUGGGCGCAGACUGAGGUCGUCGGGGGGAGAGGCUCGCCACGCUGCGGCCGGAAUUCUGGACCGGGAGUCCAUGAGGGGCCGCAGUGCCCGCCCCGCCCUUCUCCUGGCGCUGGCCCCAAGGCUCCGCCUUGGAGUGGGCCGGGAUCCAGGUCCCCUCUCUUCCCCCCCACCCCCCAACCCUACGGCCCGGGCCGGGAAUGGAGGCGCCGGCCGAGCUGCUGGCCACGCUGCCGCUUUUGGGAACUGCACUGGCUCUUUUGCUUGCCUCUUUGUGGUUCUGGCGGAGCCGAGCCUGUGCGCUCAGGAGCUCCGAGGAUCCUGCUCCCCCAAAGCAGGCCCGGCCCUCCGCGGGCGCAGAGGAGACACAGACAUUCGGAGAAGCACUGGAAGAGCCUCCGGCGGGGGCAGGAAAAAAGGAGGAGGAGCCGGAGGAGGAGGAGGAGGAAGAGAGACAGAAUGAAGAGCCAAACUCUGAAAGUAAGAAGAUGUCACUACUAUCUAAACUAGAAGACGAAGAUGAAGAGGAGGCAUUUUCCUUUAAAUAUAGCCCUGGGAAACUGAGAGGGAACCAAUAUAAGAAGAUGCUGACCAAAGAAGAAUUGGAGGAAGAACAAAGGAUUGAACUGACCUCUGACUUCACUUGCCUGUAGCAAGUACCUUAGUUCUGCACCACAAAUACUCUCCCAAAACUUUUUGGGUUAAAAAAGAACAGCUGGCUGCCAUCUUCAAACUCAUGAAGGACAAUAUGGAGACUUUUGGAGAGAUGUCUGAUGGAGAUAUGCAGGAACAGCUCAAGCUUUAUGAUAUGUAGGCUCAAAAACAAUAAAGCUCUCCAAUAGCUGCUGUCUUGCCCUUGAAUUUGAAGACAAUUGUACAGUGACUGUUAUUAGAUUAGAAACUCUUGUUUUCAGAUUGUAGGUUUAAAUACAUAUGUAUGCAUACAUACACACACACACACACACACACACACACACACACAUAUAACUUUUUGCAUAUACUCUUUAUAUCUCAUCUCCUAGGGAUCAAAAAUACUCCCCACAGAGGAAGAGUGGUGAGCAACCCAUUAGCUGAGUUUCCCUCCCAAUUGCUUGUUAUUGCAGUUUGAACUAUGUGACAUAAUUAGUAGUAGAAGAUAAAAUACUUUAUCUUCUGACUUGAGCUAAGAAAUUUCUCAUGUUAGUCCCAAGACAGGCAUUAAUAAUACAGAACCAGACUAGAUGAUAUUAGAGUAAGGCUGACUCAAAGUUUUUGCUCAUGACUCAAUAGUAAGCUCUUUGGGAGGAUCUAGGAAUUCUGAAGAAUAUAAUAUUUUUACUUUUAGCAUCCUUAUAAGUUUUUAUAGGGCUAGAGUCUGAAAUUUUUUUUAAGCAUCAGGAAUCCAUUUCUUCCUAGGUGGUCUAAAAAUCUGUUUCAAUCUUUGUGGAUUAAAAUAAAGGUACUGGGAAAUGAUGUUAUAAGAGUCUGUUCUAUGUUAUUUCUAGUCCUUGUUUAAUUCAAAUGUUUGUAGAGUGCC
This 1782-nucleotide long non-coding RNA is filed under the name Sarcophilus harrisii (Tasmanian devil). RNAcentral describes it as "lncRNA (ENSSHAG00000030436.1)". Lineage: Eukaryota; Metazoa; Chordata; Mammalia; Dasyuromorphia; Dasyuridae. The record is from RNAcentral.